This 465-nucleotide ribosomal RNA is filed under the name uncultured bacterium. RNAcentral's name for it is "partial 16S ribosomal RNA". It matches the Rfam family "Bacterial small subunit ribosomal RNA", at positions 338 to 795 of the family's 1533-position model. The record is from RNAcentral.
CCUACGGGUGGCAGCAGUGGGGAAUAUUUCGCAAUGGGCGAAAGCCUGACGCAGCGACGCCGCGUGAGGGAUGAAGGUCUUCGGAUCGUAAACCUCUGUCAGCAGGGAAGAACGGUCACUUUGCUAAUCAGCAGUGAAUUGACGGUACCUGCAAAGGAAGCACCGGCUAACUCCGUGCCAGCAGCCGCGGUAAUACGGCGGGUGCGAGCGUUUAUCGGAAUUACUGGGCGUAAAGCGGUCGUAGGCGGUAUGUCAAGUCAAGGGGGAAAUCCCCGUGCUCAACGUUGGAACUGCCUGUGAAACUGGCAAACUGGAGUGUGUGAGAGGAUAGUGGAAUUCCAGGUGUAGGAGUGAAAUCCGUAGAUAUCUGGAGGAACAUCAGUGGCGAAGGCGACUAACUGGCACAUAACUGACGCUGAGGAGCGAAAGCGUGGGUAGCAAACAGGAUUAGAUACCCGUGUAGUC